CUGAGAUGGGGUAAGGAGGGGUUGAGGGCACAGAGCCUGUUGGCAGGAAAAGCAGGAGCCCUUCUGAAAACCCUCAGUAGGGUCAGGGCUGAGAGCCAGGGGUCAGGGUCCCUCACCUACCUUCCCUUCCCUUCCCAGAGUCACCUGCUGUGUCCAUCAUCCCUGUCAUGGGAAUUGUUGCUGGCCUGGUUCUUUUUGUAUUUGUGGUCACUGGAGCUGCGGUGGCUGUUAUGAGGUGGUGGCGGAAUGCAGCAGAGACAGCUGCCUUGUGUGGGACUGAGCAACACAAGAUUUUUCAAGCCUUUGUGACUAGAAGAACCCUGGAGUCCCUUUCUGUCAUGGAUUAUUAAGCCAUCCACAUUCCUAUUGGCAUAAUGUGCAGAAGUGAGACCAGUGCAUAGGACCCAUGUCCUGCACUGUCCCUUGCCCACUCACCUUUCACCUUUUCUCUAUUCUAGCAGAGUUCAGGCUGGGAUGACUCCUUCCUUCUCUCAACAUCACUGUGCACUGAGCCACAACUUCUUACUUCCAUCCUGAAUAUAAGAAUCAGAAUAUAAAUAUUUUUCAAAAUCUUGAUCCAAUGGAUAGAUUGGUUAAUAAACAGAGAAAAUUCCAAA
Non-coding RNA from Marmota flaviventris (yellow-bellied marmot), 617 nucleotides. The record is from RefSeq and is a predicted model, not a curated record. NCBI's taxonomy places the organism in Eukaryota, Metazoa, Chordata, Mammalia, Rodentia, Sciuridae.